GACGUAGGAUGCAAGCGUUGUCCGGAUUUAUUGGGCGUAAAGAGUUCGUAGGUGGUUUGUUAAGUCUGAUGUUAAAGACUGGGGCUCAACCUCGGAAAUGCAUUGGAUACUGGCAGACUUGAGUGUGGUAGAGGCAAUCGGAAUUCCAGGUGUAGCGGUGAAAUGCGCAGAUAUCGGGAGGAACACCGGUGGCGAAGGCGGUUCUCUGGGCCUUACCUGACACUGAGGAGCGAAAGCGUGGGGAGCGAACAGG
RNAcentral lists this ribosomal RNA (253 nucleotides) under uncultured bacterium. Its description in RNAcentral is "partial 16S ribosomal RNA". It matches the Rfam family "Bacterial small subunit ribosomal RNA", at positions 524 to 776 of the family's 1533-position model. The record is from RNAcentral.